AAUGUAAAUGUGUAGAAUGAAUAGACUUCAAGUAAUUUACCAUUUAUGCAGUUUUUGUUUUUUUUGUGUGUGUUAGGAUGGAAGAGUUGUACUCUUUGUGCUUCAUUUAUUCCUAUAUGGUAAUUUCUAGAAACUUGGACUUUUGAUCCACCAAAAGCAGUAAUACUUUAGCAUUUACCUGUUACUGAGAAAUUAAACCGAGAUGUAAAAACAGAAAAAGAUUAUGCCAUUCAUACCUUUGAUUGAAACAGUAAUAACCAUAGAUGGAUAAGAAAAAUACCUGUUCACUUACUUUUAUAAUUUGUUGUUUUGGGAAAGAGUCUGUCUCCUAAAAUUGCCAUGGAGGUAUAACUUCAAACUUCCUAAAUAUGUACAUUAUGCUUCAUGUAUAAUAUAACCACUUUGAAAAGUUGAAUAACCAAAUACUUUCUUAAUUGGGGUAUGGUUUUCUUGACUUUCAGAGACAAGUAGAAAAAUUCUAAAUACUAGGAUGUCCUACAAAGUAAAGGUAUGGGCAGGUCUGUUUUUGGUUCAUUGUAUCUAGAGGUAGGGCUUCCCAGGUGGUGCUACUGGUCAAGAACCCACCUGCCAAUGCAGGAGACAGAAGAGAUGUUGGUUUGAUCCCUGAGUCAGGAAAAUCCCCUGGAGGAGGGCAUAGAAACCCACUCCAGUAUUCUUGUCUGGAAAAUUCCAUGGACAGAGGAGCUUGGUGGACUACAGUCUGUAGGGUCACAAAAGGUUGGUCACAACUAAAAUGACUAAGCACGCGUCUAGAGGUUAGCGAACCUGUGCACUCUACAAACAACUCUCUUUCAAAUUAAUAAAAUUCAUUUUAGAAAUGUUUUAGAUGUACACACUCUAUAAUGGGGCAAAUGGGUCUAACUCUCCAAAUACAGUGUAUGACUUGGGAUUAUCAGGAAGUAUAUUCAUUAUCAAGAAGUAAACUCCAGGAGAUGGUGAGGGACAGGGAGGCUGGGCGUGCUGCAGUCCACAGGGUCAGAGUCAGACACGACUGAACAACAAAAUUCGUUAAACUUAAUCUCGUCUAUACAGGUAUUGACUAGUUUGGUCAUUUAAAGUAAUCCUUUGCUUCUUGCAGUUAUUGGUGUGCAUCUUGAAUAAUGAAGUUUGAAUUUCACAAAUGUGCAAUAAUCCCAUACCUUUCCUGCAGUACAUCCUGAGCCUAUAUGCUGUAAUAAGGUACUACCCAAGUACAAGCAGUUCUCAUCACUGGAGCAUGCCAGGAUGAUGUUAGAAGUUGCUCUGAUGAAUUCUUCAUGCCAGACUGAAUCAUCACAUUUUGUGACUGAAGUCUGUUUACACCAGUGUUCCUAGUUCUCGGAGCUCACUCUGGACCAGGCUUCAGCCUAAGCACGUCUCUGUGGAGGUCACAGCCGCUUCUCCGCCACGCCAGUGGCGCCUGCGGCUCUGCUUGCACUUGGUACCUUCCAGGGCCCUGGAGUUAUUGGUGUUUUCUUAGCGGGAGAACCACUUUCAGAGGACUGGCAAUCUUUCCUGCAUGUUCUUCCAGAUAUUGACUGGCUGACUUCUUGGGACUAGCAGACCUGCCUCUUGGUGUGAUCCCGUUUUCUGCUUUCAAGAGAUUUUUCUUCUCACCGUGCCCAUGACUGUUGGGCACAGUGUCCUUUAAUUCUUCUGCCUUUUCACAUAUCUGAACUCUCAUCAAUGAUUCUUCAGUUACUGGCACAUGAGACUCUUCAAAUAUGGAAGCAGAGUGCGAAGAUGGAUGACAUGGUGACUGUUCAUCAUAAAUCACAUUGGAAGAUGUAGGGUUAUUAAUAUCCCAAUCACCUAAAAAAGUGAUUUUUGAGAAGAACAUUAUUAAAUUUUAGAACUAUAAAUAGGAACAAUUAAGUUUUGAACUUUGAUAUCCAUUUGAAUUUUACUGACUGCUUAAACCGACUAUUUUAUAAAGUUCAUGUAUAUCUCUCUCUAUAAAUGGCAGAUGUAUACAGACAACUGUAGUUGUACAUGAAAGGUAGGUUGUUUCUUUUAUAUAUAUAUAUAUAUAAAGUAAGAGCAUUCGUUUUUCUAAUUACUUUUCAUAAGUACAAUAAUAUAUGAUGUGUAAAUUCUUUAUAAGUAGUAAAAGCCCAAUAAAAAGCUUAAAAGAAAUAACUAAUAAAAUUGGACCAAAUUAUCUGGUCCAAGCAGCUUACUAAUUUAGCUAUUAUUGAUGGAUAUAGCUUAAAGAUUUGCCAAAAUCCACUAAUAAAGGAAACCAAACCAUGGUAACCAGAAUGGAGUUCAUGGGCAUUUGUAAAUAAUUCUCUUGCAUUAAGCUGUUAAAUUUAAUGUCAAAAGGAAACUGAAAAGUGCAGAAGAUAGAAGUAGAUGUAUUUAAUAGCAUCAUUUUUAAUUAAAAAAAAAAAAAAAAAGAAGGAAGUGAUUUACAAGACAUGCAAAUUUACCAAAUCUUUUUAAGGAAAGACCAAGAAAAGCCCUGAAAGCCUUAAUGUUGCUCAGGUUUCACGUAGGAGCACAGACCGGAAGGAGCCAAACCUGAAGAAGGAAGAGAAAAAGCCUAGGACUGUGUAAAAAAAUACAUCACAGCGCAGUUAGCAAAGAUGUCACUGGGGAUGUAUGAUUUACAAGCAGAUGAUGGAAGGUAAUACAGUCAGAGAAUUACAGACUGGAAGGGGACUACAGGAGAUGAUGUCUACACUUAACCCACAAAAGUUCUAUGGGGGGAAGGAAGGAAGCUAGACGGGACAAGGACCAGUGGUGUGGUACUAUAAACUAGUGCACUCAGCUGGAAAAGGGUGAUUUUCUAAUACUGUGAUAUUUCAGAAACACACAGUGAAUCCAGGGAAGUUUAAUAUCAGUACAGGACUACAGAAAUGGUCCCAGGUCCAAAUCUUGGUCUCCAGGUACCGCUAUAGGUAACUUAUUUUUGACAAAUGACCAGAAAAGCCCAAGGUUCUUACUCUGUUCCUUAAGAAAGAAACUCAUCUUACUAUAAGGAAAAAAGUAACAUUUGAAGAGAUUUUAAAUGUUUUUCAUGACAUUAAAAUCCUUUGCCUCUCAUGUUCUUAUUUUCUCCAGGCACAUUUCUCUGCAAAAGCAACUAUGUUUUCUGUUGAAAGUAGCUUAACAUAUAUUCUGUUGUAAUAAAAGUCCUGUAUGAAGUCA
This is a long non-coding RNA of Bubalus bubalis (water buffalo), 3153 nucleotides long. RefSeq lists it as uncharacterized. The record is from RefSeq and is a predicted model, not a curated record. The transcript is spliced from 5 exons. NCBI's taxonomy places the organism in Eukaryota, Metazoa, Chordata, Mammalia, Artiodactyla, Bovidae.